AUGUCCCCACGCCCCUCCCCCACAGGCACAUUUUCUCACAGCUCCAGCGCCAGGCGAGGAGGGAGCGUCUCUGCCCGGACUCCGCUGCGGUCGGUCCCCCCAAGCAGCCCGAGCUGCGGUGAACGUGUCCAGCACUCCAAUCAGCAGACCCCGCGCUCAUUGUCCACCGCUGCCCGCAAAGGCAGACGGUGCAGCAGUUCUCACGGUGCAUCAGCCAGCGAGUGGAUUGAUGAGCAGGAGACGAGGAGAGAGAAAAAAGCGACCCAGAAGGACAAGCUGAAAGGGGUGGGAGGGGGGUAUUUACCCCCUACACGCCCCAGAUCUGCAUCCUCAGUGACUUAAGUACCACACACAUCAGCUGCCGUCAAAGCUAUGACAGCUUCAGCCGAGAGCAAGGGAAAAACCAGCCUCCCGGGGUCUAGGUUAGAAAAAGGAAGCUCAGACCGAUGCCUUGGAAGGAAGAAAAACCAAAUCAAUCCACCCGGGGAACACAGAUCCAGCCGCAGCUCUCGCCUCGGGAGUGGGCUGCCAAGAGGCAUUGGAAGCUGUCUUGCUGGUCACGUUGUCGUUACGUGGGGUUAAACAGAGACGUCUGCUUGCCCCCCCCCCAAUACCUCUGGCAGGGAAAUGGGGACCUUGGGGUGAGUCUCGCAGCGGCCUAGAUUGACCUGAGGGAGGCAAAGGACAGCUCCGCGCACAGGCACCGUUACAAGAAUGUUACCAAACAUCCAUUUUCUCCAUUUUGGAAAUGGAGAUGGGAGGCAAAGGCAGGAGAGAAAAUGCCCCCACCUCUUCUCCAUAUCUUACUACGUAAAGCCUGACGUCGUGACGUUGCGGAUCAGGAUAGGUUAGCUGCAUCCAUAUUUUAAUAAUUUUUUUUGCGGAGGGGGGGGUGAGUCAAGCCAAGGAGAUGCUGCGUGUCUGAUCUUCUAGAGGAAAAAUUCUAAAAAGUGGAGACUUCAGAUACUAGUGCGUGGUAAAUCAGUAACCCCCGACGGUCAAUGUAAAACCAACCAACCAAUAAAUAAAUACACCCCCCCCA
Molecule: long non-coding RNA, 1042 nt
Filed under: Gopherus agassizii (Agassiz's desert tortoise)
Lineage: Eukaryota; Metazoa; Chordata; Testudines; Testudinidae
Description: lncRNA (ENSGAGG00000000150.1)
Source: RNAcentral